Molecule: long non-coding RNA, 519 nt
Filed under: Zonotrichia albicollis (white-throated sparrow)
Lineage: Eukaryota; Metazoa; Chordata; Aves; Passeriformes; Passerellidae
Description: lncRNA (ENSZALG00000013594.1)
Source: RNAcentral
UAAAGAAACACAUGCCCACAAUAGUUAUGUAAACUGGUUUCUAAUUAGGACCAUUCCCUCACAAAUCACAAUGGAUAAGUACAUAUCUUCAAAAGGUCACUUUUGUAAUUUUUCAGUGUCAUACUGCUGAAUACUGUGGGAGAUGCUGAGUGCCAGCAUUAAAGCUGGAAGUGUUUGAGGGCUGUGGACAGAACUCCCACGGAGAGGCAGAGGAAGUGCAGCCUGACAGAUGGAAUCAGCGCCUUUCCAGGAAUGCCCCUGCAUGGGACAUCAACCUCUUGUUCCACAAAAUGCUUCACUCCAGUCACUAUCCCCAAAGUCCUUCAGAAGAAAACUAUCAAUAAGUUCUGUUUUCAAGGAACUAAGUUUUAUUUUAAGCUGAGGAAACACCAUGUCUUCACAAGAUGGAAUGUGCUGCUUUGGGCUAAGCAAACUGGCUGUAGCCUAUUAUUUCCUCCAGCACUUUCAAGACAUGUUUUGUGUCAAUGCACCCUGCUCAAACAAGCAAGAUCACACUGA